AGGAUGUGGCUCAGUGGUAAAGUGCUUGCUCAGCAUGUAAGAGACCCGGGGUUCAAUCCCCAGUACUACUG
RNAcentral lists this transfer RNA (71 nucleotides) under Marmota monax (woodchuck). Its description in RNAcentral is "tRNA.Ala". The record is from RNAcentral. Lineage: Eukaryota; Metazoa; Chordata; Mammalia; Rodentia; Sciuridae.